This is a non-coding RNA of Schistosoma mansoni, 46 nucleotides long. The record is from Rfam. Lineage: Eukaryota; Metazoa; Platyhelminthes; Trematoda; Strigeidida; Schistosomatidae.
GCACUACUGAGGAGUCCUACGAUAGGACGAAACGGCCGUCCAGUGC